AGAGUGGAAUGCAGCCAAGGAUGACUUGCCAGCAGCACAGAACAAGGCGGUAAUCUUUGAUACGAUUGCCAUUUGCCCGGCAAGUCCAUCCUUGGCUACACCUUACUCUCU
Molecule: non-coding RNA, 111 nt
Organism: Triticum aestivum (bread wheat)
Lineage: Eukaryota; Viridiplantae; Streptophyta; Magnoliopsida; Poales; Poaceae
Source: Rfam